Molecule: ribosomal RNA, 233 nt
Filed under: uncultured bacterium
Lineage: Bacteria
Description: partial 16S ribosomal RNA
Rfam family: Bacterial small subunit ribosomal RNA
Source: RNAcentral
CGGGACGGGUGUGUAAUGUCUGGGAAACUGCCUGAUGGAGGGGGAUAACUGCUGGAAACGGUAGCUAAUACCGCAUAACGUCGCAAGACCAAAGAGGGGGACCUUCGGGCCUCUUGCCAUCGGAUGUGCCCAGAUGGGAUUAGCUAGUAGGUGGGGUAACGGCUCACCUAGGCGACGAUCCCUAGCUGGUCUGAGAGGAUGGCCAGCCACACUGGAACUGGGACACGGUCCAG